Molecule: ribosomal RNA, 1617 nt
Filed under: Triticum aestivum (bread wheat)
Lineage: Eukaryota; Viridiplantae; Streptophyta; Magnoliopsida; Poales; Poaceae
Description: partial small subunit ribosomal RNA
Source: RNAcentral
AUGACCCUCAGCGCCUGCCUGAGCUGGCCCCUGCUUUGGCCGAAGAGCCAGAUUCGUUUGGGGGCGGGGGACACCACCCCAAAGACAACACCGCCAGUCAUGCCGGUGCCAAGUCGGCCCCAUGGCAAGACCGCCGUAACGGUGCCGGACAUCCCUAUGCCACUGGAUCCAAACAUGCAUAUGGCACAGGAUCAGAACGACGACGACGACGACGAUGAUACAUUUGGCAACGUUGAUCAGUACUUUGCCGAGCAUGGGUACGAUGGCGACUUCAUGGGGCCUCCUUCUCAAGAACCAAACCCAACAAAAGACGUGUGCGAUCUAGCUCGUACCGCGGAGAAGCCAAGUUGCAACAGGCACCGUCUGGCGUUCAGCUCUCAGGAGACGCCUCCAGCUGCCGACUUCACCGAGCCUCAGAUAGGCGAGGUGCGAAAUAUUAUCAGCCCCAACACACUCAAGAAGGCGGUCUGUGAGCAGAACUCGGUCCCAUUACAGGAGAAGAAGAAGGCACGCAAAAGAAAGACUAAGAAGGGUGUGAGCCAGCCGGCACCGAGUACGAUCCAUGCUCAGGACGGGCCACCUUCACCGCAGGAUAUCUCGAGGAGGGUGCAUGUGGCGGGUAGGGCGAUGCUACCACCAAAUAUGCUCAAUGCUGCAACCGGUGCUAUGCGGAGUCUGCACGACAGUGUUCUUUCUUUGGAGAAGCGGCGUCUCAGAGAGAAGGAUGUGGCAUACCCGAUUUUCGUGGCCAAGGUGCCAGAGGGCAAGGGCUUUGUGGAUGGCGACAUCGGGGGUACGAUCGUCCUGCGGUUUGAUGACAUCUUUGCUAUGUUUAACCUUCAUCCGCUGCACUACGCCUUCGUUCGGCUAUUUUCGCUGAGUAUGGAGAUGCGGAUCAUUCGCGACAAGACCCCGGACAUCGUGAUAGUCGACCCCUUCUACAUGCGUGCCAAGAUCUUGGGCAGCGCUGGGGACCGGCAAGUCGCGAGUUCUUACCUCGAAGGCGUCAUUCUGGCAAACCAAGAUAAGGAUAACUUCCUCGUGCCUUACUUUCCCGAUGACACACGUUGCACGCUCAUCCUCCUAAGCCCCAAAUAUUCCAUGGCCACGUAUUUCGACCCGGACCAUCAGUCGAACGUAGACUACACAAAUGUCAAGAAGGUUCUUGAUGAUGUUCUCCCCGGCUACGCCCAAUCUGGAGGCACCUUCACCAGGCCUAUUCGUAAGUACGGCAAGCACGUGUUCUCCCACAAUACGACAUUCUGCUGCGUCAAGCAGCCGCCUGGCGGUCAGAAGGGUGCCUACUACGCCAUCCAUCACAUGCGGGCGAUCGUACGGGACCAUCAUCAACUUCUGCUACCGAGUAAACUCCAAGAUUGGGCCGCGAGCGUGUCGGCAAUCCAGGACGCGGACCUCCGACAAGAAUUCUUUCGCAUCCAGUCGGAGUUUGCGGAAAUCAUCCAUCAAGAUGUCCUUCGUACCUCGGGGCAGUUCUACCUCAGAAAUCAACCGUCCAACAGUGACAUCGACACAAUGCUACAAAUGCAGGAUGACAACGCCCGUUCUUUCAUGACUCCCACGAUAGAUGGCGGCUUCAUCCACGCUCCGGUCCCUUGA